This 513-nucleotide ribosomal RNA is filed under the name Vibrio sp. QAT_1_399. RNAcentral describes it as "bacterial SSU rRNA". It matches the Rfam family "Bacterial small subunit ribosomal RNA", at positions 372 to 877 of the family's 1533-position model. Lineage: Bacteria; Pseudomonadati; Pseudomonadota; Gammaproteobacteria; Vibrionales; Vibrionaceae. The record is from RNAcentral.
UGGGCGCAAGCCUGAUGCAGCCAUGCCGCGUGUGUGAAGAAGGCCUUCGGGUUGUAAAGCACUUUCAGUCGUGAGGAAGGUGGUGUAGUUAAUAGCUGCAUCAUUUGACGUUAGCGACAGAAGAAGCACCGGCUAACUCCGUGCCAGCAGCCGCGGUAAUACGGAGGGUGCGAGCGUUAAUCGGAAUUACUGGGCGUAAAGCGCAUGCAGGUGGUUUGUUAAGUCAGAUGUGAAAGCCCGGGGCUCAACCUCGGAAUAGCAUUUGAAACUGGCAGACUAGAGUACUGUAGAGGGGGGUAGAAUUUCAGGUGUAGCGGUGAAAUGCGUAGAGAUCUGAAGGAAUACCGGUGGCGAAGGCGGCCCCCUGGACAGAUACUGACACUCAGAUGCGAAAGCGUGGGGAGCAAACAGGAUUAGAUACCCUGGUAGUCCACGCCGUAAACGAUGUCUACUUGGAGGUUGUGGCCUUGAGCCGUGGCUUUCGGAGCUAACGCGUUAAGUAGACCGCCUGGG